GACUUCAUGGUCCAGUAUUUGAGAUCAUUGGCUAAAAAUGUCAUCCAAGUUGGCAAAAAAGGAAUUUAGUGGUACUAUCGUUGAUCAUCCAAUAUAUUUACAAGAGAUUCCUUACAAAUAGUUUGACCUGUUACACAAUAAAAAUGUCUUUUCACACAUGAAUAUGAGGUGAACAAAUAUAAAAAUAAUUUGUUUGACGUCCACAUCAUGAUAUAACUGCAAAAUAAUGCGACAAAUUAUAAGUCCAAAAGCAACACAUAGCUGUCCCGGUCAAUGAAGUCCUAUUGCAUACUAUUCUUCCAUCUUUUUCGGCCACUUUUAGUGUGUAGUGAGUUCAAAAUCCAUCUGCAACUCCAUUAAAAUGAACAAAUUUCAAUGUCAUACGAUGAUUUAACAUGUAAUGAAUUUGUACAACACAUAGUGAAUCAAUUUAAACAAUUUUUAUUUUAUUAUAACUGUCGAGAAAUCCAAUAACCAUUUGUCAAGAAUAAUUGAUUUUCGCUACAAAUGUUCAGUCAGUACUUUAAAGAAUCUUCGAAGGUGCAAAAACGAAUCAGAUUUUGUAAUUCACAAUGACUAUAAAAUGAACCACAUUGCAACAAAUUGAAUCAACCAUAGAAUGCAACACAUAAUACACUGAAUAAUGAUCAUGAAUGAACCAAGUUACUUGAGCUAUGAAUCAACAAAUUGAACCACAUUACAAUAAAUUGAACAUAUCAAUCCACAAAUUCAACCUACAAUGAGCAUGUAUAUUCUAAUAAUCCACAAUGGAAAUGCAUAUUCUAAUAAACCAUAAAUUCAACCAACAUCCAAAAAACCCCUAAUUCUGAGUGAAUUGUUUCAAAAAUCAUCGAACUUAUGCCAUGGUCACGGACUGCUCAUCAAACUUCAUUCUGCUUCAUAGUACUAACUCAACUUCACUCGUUUGCUCUCCAUCCACCACCGUCAGAAAAUCUGUUUGUGGGUUGCUUACAUGGCAAACGAAAUUCCUAGGUGGCAUCUAAUGAUCGUUAACUUGGGAGAAAAAUGACAUCUUCCUAUUCAGCAAAAAAAUAAAAUAAAAAACCAAUUUUUGAAAAAUAAAAUGGAAAAACAAUUUUUUCCCCAUUAGCUUAAAUAAAAAGGGGGGGAAAAAAACAAAAACCGAUUUCUAUAAUCUGAAAAAACCAUGGACGUCUUCAACAAUCAGGAAUCAAGACUCAGUCAACCUCUAAAUCGAUUACCCAAAUUCUUCUUCCAUAAUCCAUAAUCCCAAAUCUGUAAGUUUUUCCUACCUGUUGAACCCUGGAUUACAAAGAAGAGGACAAUGCAUAAAAAUGCUUCUCCAACUUUACACACUCCGUCCGCAAACACAAGUGUUGAUUAUAACCAAUUUCAAACUCAGUUGUAGGCACACACUACUAAUCAAAUUCAAAGCUAUGAUUACAACAUAAUAGUCAAUACAUAGGAUUCAGACUAACAUUACAAAAACCAUAAUUAAUACAUAAGAUUCAAUUCUUCAACAGAAUGGCCGGAUUACAAUGAGGACGACAAUGCCCAAAAACGCAAUUUUGUAUAUUUUUCAUCAAUUUGCAGAAUUUCUGGUGUUCUCAGAUGCACAAUUGCUUCACAAUAACAGUACCUUAUUGACCCAAUAUCCCCAAAAACUUCAGAUAUUGCCGCCACAAAGCUAUAACAACGAGAUGGCUGCAGAAGAAAAAAUUAGGCGGUCCGUAGAGAGGGGAGGAAUUUUUCAGCUUUAACACAACACCCCUGGUUGUGUAGGUUCAACCGUGUGUGCAAGACAGACUUCGUGCUUGGAAGAAGACGUAGUUCGUCAAUCGAUUUAGGGAAAAUCAGACUCAACCAAAGCUUUGAAGUACAGAAAUCGUUUGUCCCCCCGUUUUAUUUAAGCUAAAGGGACAAAAUCGUCUGUCAGACACCCGAUUUUGCUAAAUAGGCAGAAGACCACAUUUUUCUCCCAAGUUAACGGGUGGCAUAUUUUAUCAGCCACGUCAGCGACCAACAAACAGAUUUUUGGCAGUGGUAGAUGGAGAGCAAACGGGCAAAGUUGAGUGAGUACUCUGAAGCAAAAUGAAGUUUGAUGAGAAGUCCGUGACUAUGGUAUAAGUUCA
RNAcentral lists this long non-coding RNA (2114 nucleotides) under Olea europaea (common olive). Its description in RNAcentral is "long non-coding RNA (OEUR_LNC006062)". Lineage: Eukaryota; Viridiplantae; Streptophyta; Magnoliopsida; Lamiales; Oleaceae. The record is from RNAcentral.